UGGACAGAGACAGAGCAGGACAGGGGAUCGGAGACAGAGUGGGACGUGGAGGCGGAGAGACAGAGCGGGCGGGAGGAACCUGGAAGAUCUGCGGACAGACAGGCGCCAGCCGCUGGGUGCUGCCCCAUCAGAGGGCAGGCGGUGGGGGGGUGGGGGCGGGGGGUGUUAUUUGUGUGAUUUGGGGGAAUCUGUUGAGGCAAAGGCUCUUCACUGCCAAUCCCACUGCCUUUGGGAUGGAAAGGGGUUGGUCUGGAGUCAGGUGGUGUCAGAGCCUCACUGGGGAAGUGCAUUGGGCUGUGUC
Molecule: long non-coding RNA, 301 nt
Filed under: Homo sapiens (human)
Lineage: Eukaryota; Metazoa; Chordata; Mammalia; Primates; Hominidae
Description: non-protein coding lnc-PEX14-6:1
Source: RNAcentral